This 69-nucleotide transfer RNA is filed under the name Harpagifer antarcticus (Antarctic spiny plunderfish). RNAcentral describes it as "tRNA-Met". It matches the Rfam family "tRNA". Rfam says of the family: Transfer RNA (tRNA) molecules are approximately 80 nucleotides in length. Lineage: Eukaryota; Metazoa; Chordata; Actinopteri; Perciformes; Harpagiferidae. The record is from RNAcentral.
AGUAAGAUCAGCUAAACAAGCUUUUGGGCCCAUACCCCAAACAUGUGGGUUAAACCCCUUCUUUUACUA